AAAAACUCCGGUGGUAUGAGAUGGACCCGCGUCUGAUUAGCUGGUUGGCGGGGUAACGGCCCACCAAGGCGACGAUCAGUAGCCGACCUGGGAGGGUGACCGGCCACAUUGGGACUGAGACACGGCCCAAACUCCUACGGGAGGCAGCAGUGGGGAAUAUUGCACAAUGGGGGAAACCCUGAUGCAGCAACGCCGCGUGAGUGAAGAAGUAUUUCGGUAUGUAAAGCUCUAUCAGCAGGGAAGAAAAUGACGGUACCUGAGUAAGAAGCCCCGGCUAACUACGUGCCAGCAGCCGCGGUAAUACGUAGGGGGCAAGCGUUAUCCGGAUUUACUGGGUGUAAAGGGAGCGUAGACGGCGAUGCAAGUCUGAAGUGAAAGCCCGGGGCUCAACCCCGGGACUGCUUUGGAAACUGUAUGGCUGGAGUGCUGGAGAGGCAAGCGGAAUUCCUAGUGUAGCGGUGAAAUGCGUAGAUAUUAGGAAGAACACCAGUGGCGAAGGCGGCUUGCUGGACAGUAACUGACGUUGAGGCUCGAAAGCGUGGGGAGCAAACAGGAUUAGAUACCCUGGUAGUCCACGCUGUAAACGAUGAAUGCUAGG
RNAcentral lists this ribosomal RNA (598 nucleotides) under uncultured bacterium. RNAcentral describes it as "bacterial SSU rRNA". It matches the Rfam family "Bacterial small subunit ribosomal RNA", at positions 202 to 820 of the family's 1533-position model. The record is from RNAcentral.